AGAGUAAGAAUGUGUUCGAUAUACCGGAAACGGUAUAGCAGUGCCGACGGGACGGGGAGUUGUCCGCCGGACGAAAGCCACAUGGCUGCGGUUCGCAUUCUGCAUCCCGCU
Molecule: non-coding RNA, 111 nt
Filed under: uncultured Ruminococcus sp.
Lineage: Bacteria; Bacillati; Bacillota; Clostridia; Eubacteriales; Oscillospiraceae
Description: THF riboswitch
Rfam family: THF (Tetrahydrofolate) riboswitch aptamer
About the family: THF riboswitch presents a pseudoknot that joins P1-P2 and the loop of P3 and two THF binding.
Source: RNAcentral